This 383-nucleotide unclassified non-coding RNA is filed under the name Hevea brasiliensis (rubber tree). Lineage: Eukaryota; Viridiplantae; Streptophyta; Magnoliopsida; Malpighiales; Euphorbiaceae. The record is from RNAcentral.
ACGACACAAUAAGAACAAAGUGAAAGAUAAUUCCCCUCCAUGAGCAAAGAAACUUGAAAUUUCAUUCCGGUGACAAUUUUACAAUUUAACUAGAAGCACUGGACUAACAAUUUUUUUUUUUGUUUUUGGAUUCAAUGAAGCAGUUUGAGGCUGCACUAGAAGGCCCCGAGUCUAAAAGGAAUCAACACAAGUCUAAUACUAGAUUAGCAGGCAAUCAGCCAAGGAUGUGCAAAUUGUCAGGCAACAAAGCUGGGAAAAUUUGGUAUCCACAACUACCAAAGAAUGCAAUGUGGAAUUGGAUGCUAAUAUCUGCACAGUCAUGCUGCAGAUUUUCAUAGCAAAUCCCUUGAAGUUUCUCCAGAAAUCACAGCUUCACAGCCAAU